UUUAAGUGUAAUUGUAGGUUUCUAUGUCCAAUGUUUGAUCAUCUAUCUUAUUUGAAUUUUUUUUCAUUAUUAGUAUUUUUAUUGUUAUUACACGAUAAAACAUGAUAAUACUUUGUACAUGAUUUAUUUUUAAUUUUUUUUAUAAAUUUUUCAACUAAGACGGACGAUCAAACAUUGGGCACAGAAACCCACAACUGCGCUUAAA
Oryza sativa Japonica Group (Japanese rice) is the source of this 205-nucleotide microRNA precursor. It matches the Rfam family "MIR812 microRNA precursor family". The record is from Rfam. NCBI's taxonomy places the organism in Eukaryota, Viridiplantae, Streptophyta, Magnoliopsida, Poales, Poaceae.